UGGGGAAUAUUGCACAAUGGGCGAAAGCCUGAUGCAGCAACGCCGCGUGAGUGAUGAAGGCCUUCGGGUUGUAAAGCUCUGUCUUUUGGGACGAUAAUGACGGUACCAAAGGAGGAAGCCACGGCUAACUACGUGCCAGCAGCCGCGGUAAUACGUAGGUGGCAAGCGUUGUCCGGAUUUACUGGGCGUAAAGGAUGCGUAGGCGGAUUUUUAAGUGAGAUGUGAAAACCCUAGCUUAACUUGGGGACUGCAUUUCAUACUGGAAAUCUAGAGUGCGGGAGAGGAGAAUGGAAUUCCUAGUGUAGCGGUGAAAUGCGUAGAGAUUAGGAAGAACACCAGUGGCGAAGGCGAUUCUCUGGACCGUAACUGACGCUGAGGCAUGAAAGCGUGGGUAGCAAACAGGAUUAGAUACCCUGGUAGUCCACGCCGUAAACGAUGAGUACUAGGUGUAGGAGGUAUCGACCCCUUCUGUGCCGCAGUUAACACAAUAAGUACUCCGCCCUGGGAAGUACGAUCGCAAGAUUAAAACUCAAGGAAUUGACGGGGUCAUAGCUG
RNAcentral lists this ribosomal RNA (555 nucleotides) under uncultured bacterium. RNAcentral describes it as "partial 16S ribosomal RNA". It matches the Rfam family "Bacterial small subunit ribosomal RNA", at positions 355 to 932 of the family's 1533-position model. The record is from RNAcentral.